Long non-coding RNA from Talpa occidentalis (Iberian mole), 583 nucleotides. RefSeq lists it as uncharacterized. The transcript has 3 exons. The record is from RefSeq and is a predicted model, not a curated record. NCBI's taxonomy places the organism in Eukaryota, Metazoa, Chordata, Mammalia, Eulipotyphla, Talpidae.
GACAGUUGUGGGAGUACAGAGGAGGCACCUAACUCAUCCUGGGAAUCAGAGAAGGCUUCUUGGAGGUGGUGAUGUCUAGGGAGGGUCUUGAAGUUGGAGGAGUAAGGUAAACAAAGAAGAGGGUCGGUGCCGCCGAGAACAGUGCAUGAGCUGCCCCAGGCAGAGUGGGGCUGGGAUCCUGCCCUCUGCUGACCCCGCGGGCUCACUCCCCUUCCUAUUUUACAGAUAAAGGUGUCAAGGCUCCCAACACACUCAGCAAAAUGGAAGCCAGAUAGACUGAACACUUUCAUCAAAGAAGCAGCUCUGAAGAAGCUGGGAGGCUGUGAAGCCUUGGGAAGGCAAAUCAAAGCCAAACUUUGAGGAAACACUUUGUGAAGCAAAAGAAAAUUCCAUCGUUCUUGCAACAGUGCAAUCGACUAGAUGGAAGGUAAUUUAUUUGGAAUUGAGUGAGGCUGUGUCUGCUCAUGUCUCCAUGCUGAAAGAGCAGACCCAGAGGAAAGUUGGACAAACAUGCAGGCAAUCUGUCAGAUAACAGGCAUAAAAAUGUUGUUUUUCCCUCACCUCUUGAAUUAUUUGGGUGCUU